This is a long non-coding RNA of Cyprinus carpio carpio, 1154 nucleotides long. Lineage: Eukaryota; Metazoa; Chordata; Actinopteri; Cypriniformes; Cyprinidae. The record is from Ensembl.
GUUGACUCACGAUGUGAUGACGCGUUGAAUCCCUCGUGGCCGGAGGAACUCUGAACAUCUCCUGGUAGCUCAGAGCACUAUCCGGUUUUCUGUCCGAUGUCACCAAUCUUCCUUGAACCGCGGAUGUGCAGCCUCCAUAAACACUCUGCCUUUGUCGUCAUCUGAUUUAGCCAACGACACAGAGCGAUCCAGCAGACACAGGCCGAGUUGUCCACUCGAACUCACAGUGAGGACCAUCAGAAAGAAUCAGGCUUUCUCCUGCACUUACAUCCUCUUCCUCAACACUUUGAAAGUCCCUUUCAUCUGGACUUGAGUGCCCCAUAUCAUCAUGAAGAGACCUUAUUACUGCCUCUCGGAAUUCUCCCGGCAACACCAUCUGGUAAGUUUCUGCCCCAGCCAGAUUCUUGCUACAUCUAUGAAGCAGCCCAUCCUUCAGUAUCAACCGUGCCAUCUCACGCUUCAUUAAUCCUAACUUAGAAUUGCUGUCUACCCCAACAGGCCACUUCCCCUUUUCCAAAGCAGACAUCACAGCACCUAGGGUAGUAUCAUCCUUCUGAGAUUUGACCAUUUCAGCAUGUGACUUCUGCUCCAGAUAAGGACAACUAAGGUGAGUGGGAAAUGCAAAUGCAUCAGGAAUACAUUCAGAUGAAGGACAUAACUGCUCUACAUACCUAGUUGAACUAUCAGGGAAGGUAUCCGCACAGACCCUCUGGCAUAUGGAUCUGACUCCGGUCUCUGAUAUGCACUGCCAGUUCUCUCCAUCUCCAAACCCACGGCGGGACAAUAAAUCAGCAUCAACAUUUGUCUUUCCAGGUCGAUACUGAAUAUCAAAAUCGUACGUGGCCAAAGACGCCAACCAACGAUGCCCAGUGGCAUUCAGCUUCGCUGUGGUCAGAACAUAUGUGAGCGGAUUAUUGUCGGUGCGGACCGUGAAUUUAGCCCCAUAGAGGUAGUCAUGGAAUUUAUCCACGACUGCCCACUUCAAGGCCAAAAACUCCAGUUGAUGAAUGGGAUACUUUUGUUCAGCGUUACUUAGCUUUCUACUGGCAAAGGCCACAGGCCGUAAACCAGUAGAAUGCUCCUGAUACAAAACCGCGCCUAACCCUUGCAAACACGCAUCAACAUGCAAGAUAUACUGCUUAUUGGGAUCUGCA